RNAcentral lists this ribosomal RNA (465 nucleotides) under Vreelandella stevensii. RNAcentral describes it as "partial 16S ribosomal RNA". It matches the Rfam family "Bacterial small subunit ribosomal RNA", at positions 338 to 795 of the family's 1533-position model. Lineage: Bacteria; Pseudomonadati; Pseudomonadota; Gammaproteobacteria; Oceanospirillales; Halomonadaceae. The record is from RNAcentral.
CCUACGGGGGGCAGCAGUGGGGAAUAUUGGACAAUGGGGGGAACCCUGAUCCAGCCAUGCCGCGUGUGUGAAGAAGGCCCUCGGGUUGUAAAGCACUUUCAGUGAGGAAGAACGCCUGGUGGUUAAUACCCAUCAGGAAAGACAUCACUCACAGAAGAAGCACCGGCUAACUCCGUGCCAGCAGCCGCGGUAAUACGGAGGGUGCGAGCGUUAAUCGGAAUUACUGGGCGUAAAGCGCGCGUAGGUGGCUUGAUAAGCCGGAUGUGAAAGCCCCGGGCUCAACCUGGGAACGGCAUCCGGAACUGUCAAGCUAGAGUGCAGGAGAGGAAGGUAGAAUUCCCGGUGUAGCGGUGAAAUGCGUAGAGAUCGGGAGGAAUACCAGUGGCGAAGGCGGCCUUCUGGACUGACACUGACACUGAGGUGCGAAAGCGUGGGUAGCAAACAGGAUUAGAUACCCUAGUAGUC